This 496-nucleotide ribosomal RNA is filed under the name uncultured bacterium. RNAcentral's name for it is "partial 16S ribosomal RNA". It matches the Rfam family "Bacterial small subunit ribosomal RNA", at positions 28 to 506 of the family's 1533-position model. The record is from RNAcentral.
GAUGAACGCUGGCGGCGUGCCUAAUACAUGCAAGUCGAGCGAACAGACGAGGAGCUUGCUCCUCUGACGUUAGCGGCGGACGGGUGAGUAACACGUGGAUAACCUACCUAUAAGACUGGGAUAACUUCGGGAAACCGGAGCUAAUACCGGAUAAUAUAUUGAACCGCAUGGUUCAAUAGUGAAAGACGGUUUUGCUGUCACUUAUAGAUGGAUCCGCGCCGCAUUAGCUAGUUGGUAAGGUAACGGCUUACCAAGGCGACGAUGCGUAGCCGACCUGAGAGGGUGAUCGGCAACACUGGAACUGAGACACGGUCCAGACUCCUACGGGAGGCAGCAGUGGGGAAUCUGCCGCAAUGGGCGAAAGCCUGACGGAGCAACGCCGCGUGAGUGAUGAAGGUCUUCGGAUCGUAAAACUCUGUUAUUAGGGAAGAACAAAUGUGUAAGUAACUAUGCACGUCUUGACGGAACCUAAUCAGAAAGCCACGGCUAACUACGU